GGAGGGGUGUCCGAGCGGUUGAAGGAGCCGGUCUUGAAAACCGGUAGGCCGAAAGGUCUCGCGAGUUCGAAUCUCGCCCCCUCCG
This 85-nucleotide transfer RNA is filed under the name bacterium. RNAcentral describes it as "tRNA-Ser". It matches the Rfam family "tRNA". Rfam says of the family: Transfer RNA (tRNA) molecules are approximately 80 nucleotides in length. Their secondary structure includes four short double-helical elements and three loops (D, anti-codon, and T loops). Further hydrogen bonds mediate the characteristic L-shaped molecular structure. tRNAs have two regions of fundamental functional importance: the anti-codon, which is responsible for specific mRNA codon recognition, and the 3' end, to which the tRNAs corresponding amino acid is attached (by aminoacyl-tRNA synthetases). tRNAs cope with the degeneracy of the genetic code in two manners: having more than one tRNA (with a specific anti-codon) for a particular amino acid; and 'wobble' base-pairing, i.e. permitting non-standard base-pairing at the 3rd anti-codon position. The record is from RNAcentral.